AGUAAUGCAUAGGAAUCUGCCCGGUAGUGGGGGAUAACCUGGGGAAACCCAGGCUAAUACCGCAUACGUCCUACGGGAGAAAGCAGGGGAUCUUCGGACCUUGCGCUAUCGGAUGAGCCUAUGUCGGAUUAGCUUGUUGGUGAGGUAAUGGCUCACCAAGGCGACGAUCCGUAGCUGGUCUGAGAGGAUGAUCAGCCACAUCGGGACUGAGACACGGCCCGAACUCCUACGGGAGGCAGCAGUGGGGAAUAUUGGACAAUGGGCGAAAGCCUGAUCCAGCCAUGCCGCGUGUGUGAAGAAGGCUUUCGGGUUGUAAAGCACUUUCAGUGAGGAAGAAGGCCUUGGGGCUAAUACCCCCGAGGAAG
Molecule: ribosomal RNA, 365 nt
Filed under: uncultured Halomonas sp.
Lineage: Bacteria; Pseudomonadati; Pseudomonadota; Gammaproteobacteria; Oceanospirillales; Halomonadaceae
Description: bacterial SSU rRNA
Rfam family: Bacterial small subunit ribosomal RNA
Source: RNAcentral